Molecule: transfer RNA, 74 nt
Filed under: Alphaproteobacteria bacterium
Lineage: Bacteria; Pseudomonadati; Pseudomonadota; Alphaproteobacteria
Also listed under: 1 other name
Description: tRNA-Val
Rfam family: tRNA
About the family: Transfer RNA (tRNA) molecules are approximately 80 nucleotides in length.
Source: RNAcentral
GGGCGGUUAGCUCAGCUGGCUAGAGCGCGUGCCUUACACGCACGAUGUCAUAGGUUCAAAUCCUGUACCGCCCA